AUUGAACGCUGGCGGCAGGCCUAACACAUGCAAGUCGAACGGUAACAGGAAACAGCUUGCUGUUUCGCUGACGAGUGGCGGACGGGUGAGUAAUGUCUGGGAAACUGCCUGAUGGAGGGGGAUAACUACUGGAAACGGUAGCUAAUACCGCAUAACGUCGCAAGACCAAAGAGGGGGACCUUCGGGCCUCUUGCCAUCGGAUGUGCCCAGAUGGGAUUAGCUAGUAGGUGGGGUAACGGCUCACCUAGGCGACGAUCCCUAGCUGGUCUGAGAGGAUGACCAGCCACACUGGAACUGAGACACGGUCCAGACUCCUACGGGAGGCAGCAGUGGGGAAUAUUGCACAAUGGGCGCAAGCCUGAUGCAGCCAUGCCGCGUGUAUGAAGAGGGCCUUCGGGUUGUAAAGUACUUUCAGCGGGGAUGAAGGGAGUAAAGUUAAUACCUUUGCUCAUUGACGUUACCCGCAGAAGAAGCACCGGCUAACUCCGUG
RNAcentral lists this ribosomal RNA (490 nucleotides) under uncultured bacterium. RNAcentral's name for it is "partial 16S ribosomal RNA". It matches the Rfam family "Bacterial small subunit ribosomal RNA", at positions 30 to 507 of the family's 1533-position model. The record is from RNAcentral.